AACGUAGGGGGCGAGCGUUAUCCGGAAUCACUGGGCGUAAAGGGCGUCUAGGCGGUCCAGUAAGUCCUGCGUGAAAGCUCCCGGCUCAACUGGGAGAGCGCGUGGGAGACUGUUGGGCUAGAGACUCGGAGAGGGGUGUGGAAUUCCCGGUGGAGUGGUGAAAUGCGUUGAAAUCGGGAGGAACACCAGUGGCGAAGGCGGCACCCUGGCCGAGUUCUGACGCUGAAGCGCGACAGCGUGGGGAGCAAACGGG
Molecule: ribosomal RNA, 253 nt
Filed under: uncultured bacterium
Lineage: Bacteria
Description: partial 16S ribosomal RNA
Rfam family: Bacterial small subunit ribosomal RNA
Source: RNAcentral